This 424-nucleotide ribosomal RNA is filed under the name uncultured bacterium. RNAcentral describes it as "bacterial SSU rRNA". It matches the Rfam family "Bacterial small subunit ribosomal RNA", at positions 356 to 773 of the family's 1533-position model. The record is from RNAcentral.
GGGGAAUAUUGGACAAUGGGCGAAAGCCUGACGCAGCGACGCCGCGUGGGGGAAGAAGGCUUUCGGGUUGUAAACCCCUUUCAGGAAGGACGAAGCCACUCGGGUUAAUAGCCCAGAGGGUGACGGUACUUCCAGAAGAAGCCCCGGCUAACUACGUGCCAGCAGCCGCGGUAAUACGUAGGGCGCGAGCGUUGUCCGGAUUUAUUGGGCGUAAAGAGCUCGUAGGCGGCUUGUCGCGUCGUCCGUGAAAACUUGGGGCUCAACUCCAAGCUUGCGGUCGAUACGGGCAGGCUCGAGUUCGGUAGGGGAGACUGGAAUUCCUGGUGUAGCGGUGAAAUGCGCAGAUAUCAGGAGGAACACCGGUGACGAAGGCGGGUCUCUGGGCCGAUACUGACGCUGAGGAGCGAAAGCGUGGGGAGCGAAC